GCUUCAAGUUCCGCAGCCCAAGUGCGGAGGGCGGAGACUGUGCCGACAUGGAGCUGGGCCUCGCGGGUCGCCGGGUGCUGGUCACCGGAGCAGGCAAAGGUAUCGGGCGCGGCACGGUCCAGGCGCUGCACGCGGCGGGCGCGCGGGUGGUGGCUGUGAGCCGGACACAGGCGGAUCUUGACAGCCUUGUCCGCGAGUGCCCGGGGAUAGAACCCGUGUGCGUGGACCUGGGUGACUGGGAGGCCACCGAGCGGGCGCUGGGCAGCGUGGGCCCCGUGGACCUGCUGGUGAACAACGCUGCUAUCGCCCUGCUGCAGCCCUUCCUGGAGGUCACCAAGGAGGCCUUUGACAGAUCCUUUGAGGUGAACCUGCGUGCAGUCAUCCAGGUGUCACAGAUUGUGGCCAGGGGCUUAAUAGCCCGGGGAGUCCCAGGGGCCAUCGUGAAUGUCUCCAGCCAGGGCUCCCAGCGGGCAGUAACUGACCAUAGCGUCUACUCCCCACCCCAGCUGCAGCCUCACCCUCAUCACCAACCCCAGCCACAGCCUCAGCCUCAUUACCAACCCCAGCCGCAGCCAGCUUGGGUUCCUCUUCAUAGGCUCCACCAAGGGUGCCCUGGACAUGCUGACCAAGGUGAUGGCCCUAGAGCUUGGGCCCCACAAGAUCCGAGUGAAUGCAGUAAACCCCACAGUGGUGAUGACACCCAUGGGCCAGGCCGCCUGGAGUGACCCUCACAAGGCCAAGACUAUGCUGGACCGAAUCCCACUUGGCAAGUUUGCUGCUAAUGAGUAAGACAAAAGGGAAACGAGGACGUCAAGCGUCUCCACUUCGUCGGUGAUCUGAGCCACUUUGUUGAAUCAGAUGAUGGUUUUCAGAAAUUAGAAGGGCGUUUCCCCAACUUGUGCUAUUCACCAUGUAAUGAGCACAGACACAGCACCCUGAAGUCUAAUCUGCAUUUUAUCAUCUUAGGUCUAGACAAGUAACCGUAAGUCAAGCCCCCUCCCACCACAGCUGAUCUCAAGCUACCCGUUAGAUGUCAUUGAACGUGGAGCUGGAGGAGAUGCCCUCAGCACCCCGUUAUGUGGUGUUUGUGUCCAUAGGUCCCACAGAUGUACAUAACCGGGGGGCGGAGAAAAGUCAUGUAUGCAGAAAUAACUAGGAAGUGAUGUUUGCUGAUUUUGCUUUUAAUAACACAAAUUGUAAACUUCUAUAA
RNA transcript from Symphalangus syndactylus (siamang), 1210 nucleotides. It is a transcript of the gene named dicarbonyl and L-xylulose reductase, with no coding region annotated. NCBI's taxonomy places the organism in Eukaryota, Metazoa, Chordata, Mammalia, Primates, Hylobatidae. The record is from RefSeq and is a predicted model, not a curated record.